UAAUACGGAGGAUGCAAGCGUUAUCCGGAUUCAUUGGGUUUAAAGGGUGCGUAGGCGGAUUAAUAAGUCAGUGGUGAAAUCUUGCGGCUCAACCGUAACAUUGCCAUUGAUACUGUUAGUCUUGAAUGCAGUUGAGGUAGGCGGAAUGUGUAAUGUAGCGGUGAAAUGCUUAGAUAUUACACAGAACACCGAUUGCGAAGGCAGCUUGCUAAACUGUGAUUGACGCUGAUGCACGAAAGCGUGGGGAUCAAACAGG
Molecule: ribosomal RNA, 256 nt
Filed under: uncultured bacterium
Lineage: Bacteria
Description: partial 16S ribosomal RNA
Rfam family: Bacterial small subunit ribosomal RNA
Source: RNAcentral